AUACAAAUACUGAUGUGUUGCAUCAAUGAACCUGCAUCGCCCUGAGGAAAUAGCAGCAUCCCAGUUGUAAGCUGCUGUGCCUGAAGGUUUUGAAGCCCAGAUUGCCCGCCUGGUGGAAAUGUUUCUGGCGGAGUCAUACAGAUGCAAGCUCUGCCAGUUGACAAGCAGCAUCAAAAGUAAGAUCAGGACACACCUGGCUUAUAUGCAUGAAACAGAUCCAGCGUGUCAAAUUUCAGGCUGUCCUAAAAUGGACCAAGAUGAAAAUGAGUCAUAUAGCAUGGGAGAUGAAGCUAACCAAGAAAAUAAAGAAAACGAAGAAAAUCUUGCAAAAAAGAUCUGUUUUAUUACCUGUGUGUCAGAUGCUUCAAAAUAUGAGUCCUCACUGUUGUGACAUGAGCCCAAGCAGUCAGAGCAAUAAUCCUCACGCCUCUCACUCCUGUGAGUGAACACCUUGUUUGGAGAAGCAGCAGCUCAUUUGCAGCUUGAGGAGCCCUGUUCUGCAGUGCCGACUUCUCUUUCAUAUUCCAAGAGCAAAGAUGAAGCAGCAGCCCAGUCUGUGCAUCUUGGCCUCUGUUGUAUUUCCAGUGUUAGAACUCAGACCUUAGCUGGGGAGAUGAAAACCCUUAAAGCCGAAUCAAGGUGUAAAAAAUUACAAAAAUCAGAAGACAGCUAGAUGUUGAUAGUAAAGGGUUAGCUCAUCCUGUGAAAGAUGCUUGCGCUUUAAAGCUGGGUUCUGAGAGAGCGCAGCGUUUCUGCAACGUGUGUGAUGUAGCAAUGAAGUCGAAAGAUACUCAUAAAAUCCAUGAAAAGGGUCAUGAUGUGGAUUGUGGCUUUAAAUGCGUUUAUUGUCCAUGACUGAGUGGGACUUAAUGGGAAAUCAUUUAAAAUCACACAAGCGGAUAAAAGAAACCUACCAGUGCCUCAUCUGUGAAAGUGUUUUUAUGUCACAAAGUGCCUUGAAAGUGCACAGAGACAGCCAUCAGAGGAAACCCCAUCUCUUUCAGUGCACAAUGCAUUCAUCAUCUUUUGAAACUGAGCGGAUAAGAAAUCUUCAUGUAGCUUGCCAUUAUCAGGAUAUGUUUAAAUGUCCGCACAGUGAUUUUACCAGUCAUGUGACAUCUAGACUGUUUAGGGUCACUGGCUUCAGCUCCGUCAUGACAUCCUAACAUACACUGUGUUGGUGGUGAUGUAUUGACCACUGAACCACUCUGAAGCAUAGAGCUGGUGUACACUGCAUGGAGGGUCAGCGCUGCGGCAAUUUUAUAGUGAAAAUGUGCAUCCAAGAAUGAUAAUCUGUACUUCUGGGGUGGGUGUGAAUGGCAGUUAAACAUUGCUGAUCAGGUACUCAAAACCAGACGUCAGAUGAAUGGACAUCACAAACGAAUCCAUGAGAAAAAAAAACAAAUGAAAAACAAAUGAAAGAAGAAAGAAGGCUGAAGAUAAUCCUACGUGCUCCAAUACAAAAGCAACUAGAAAGAACGAUUCAAGUUAAUUUGCAUGUAGUACCAACGGUGAGAAGCCUUUCAAAUGUGAGAUCUGCUCUUACGCCUCCAUUGAUGCAAGGUCUCUGCAGCAGCACUUCCCAACACGUGCUAGUGAGAGGCCCUACAAAUGUUGACUCUGUUCAUAUAGUUGCAUUCAGAAGAAGCGCUUGGACUUUCACAUAUGCCGACAUCACACUGGUGAGGCAUUUGGCUGUAGUUUUUGCUGCUAUUCUUCCCCUGACAAACAACUUUUCCGAAAACACGUUAAGAAAUAUCACCUGGGUUCAGGAACCUCAUUAACCAGUUCCCAGCCCACCUUUACCCUCAAAUCACUUCCUGUGGAACAUUAGGUUCUUCACGCUUAAACUUCCACCAGAGCAUCCUGGCAAAUAAAGAAGCUGUUGGCAUUGUCGGACUUUUGUGCUGAAAGCCAGGGGUUAUCGGGAAGAAGAGAAGAAGAGGUCCUUAUGUGGCAAUUGGAAGCACUUAGGAUGGUCUUCCCAAAAAGCUUGGUGUGCGUUAUUGUAGAGGUGGUAACUCCAAUGUGCUGAGAGGAGCGUGGAGAUUUAUGUUGCAUAAGGGGUGGACAUGUUGAUUUUUGUUCUGGUUACCUCUCGCUGAUAUAUUCCGCUUACUUACAAAUGAAGAGUUUGACAUUUCAAGGCAGAAUCCGUUGAAAUGUACCAUAGCUGACAGUGAACCCUGCAGGUGGUUUCUGUACUACAUCUUUCAUUUUUAAUACAGGUCCCUAUAUAAAACAGUAAAUGAUUCAAGAAAAUCUACUGAUGGUGUAGCACUCAUAAUAUGGUAAAAAAAAAUCCAUUAAAUUUCUUCAUGGUUAUUUUGUAUAACAGAAUGUGUCUAUUAUCAUAAGCUAAUCCAGUGUUGAAGUAAAAAUAGAAACUAUUGA
This is a long non-coding RNA of Aptenodytes forsteri (emperor penguin), 2394 nucleotides long. RefSeq lists it as uncharacterized. Lineage: Eukaryota; Metazoa; Chordata; Aves; Sphenisciformes; Spheniscidae. The record is from RefSeq and is a predicted model, not a curated record. The transcript has 6 exons.